RNAcentral lists this ribosomal RNA (114 nucleotides) under Acinetobacter baumannii. The record is from RNAcentral. Lineage: Bacteria; Pseudomonadati; Pseudomonadota; Gammaproteobacteria; Moraxellales; Moraxellaceae. RNAcentral also lists the same sequence under 3 other names.
CUGGCGACCAUAGCAAGAGUGAACCACCUGAUCCCUUCCCGAACUCAGAAGUGAAACCUCUUAGCGCUGAUGGUAGUGUGGGAUUACCCAUGUGAGAGUAAGUCAUCGCCAGCU